Molecule: long non-coding RNA, 1083 nt
Organism: Oncorhynchus tshawytscha (Chinook salmon)
Lineage: Eukaryota; Metazoa; Chordata; Actinopteri; Salmoniformes; Salmonidae
Source: Ensembl
GAGGUGUGGCGGCAGGGGAAGAAGGCACACGGUUGAAACCAUGGCACCAAGAAGGAUAAGGAAAAUCGGCAAUCAGACAGAAGGACACGCAGAUGGUCAAAUUAGCAAGGAGAUACGCCAAAAGCAAGGGACGCUUUUUAUUCAACAGUUCGAGAAAGAAGGCUGUUCAUUUUAACGGAUGGCAAUUCGGCAGGUGAAGUCACCAUCGCCAUAAAGACCGAAUCACACGAGAUUCACCAGCCUCUCACAAGGAAGGUCAGUAAAGGUUUCCAAGAAAGCCAGAUCACUUGCCAAUGGCGGCUCAAGCACUGGAAGCCUACGGAGUGCCACAUCCACAAGUACAAAAAUAACCAACUCGCAUUGCCAAAAUCAGUGAUCAAUCUCCACUGACUGGGACGAAACACAGAUCUGUUUUGUGGUCAGCCAGUGAUGACCACCUGUGUUGCUCCCUGUCUGGAUUGUCUCCACAUGUAAUGAUCUCUACAUCCCAUGGAGAGGUGACUUUUCAUAUUGAGGUUGUUGGGCUUUAAGUUAUUUCAAGCAGUCUAAACUAGUCCCAUUUUCUCCCAAGACUUUGUGCCUCUCGGAUGAUACUGUUGAAGAUGUUGACAUCGGGUUACUGGAUGAUAUGGCUGUUCUCUAGAUGCAGAAGUUGAUGGUAAAAUAUAUUCUUGUCAAUUUCUCAUAUUGAAACUAACAAUUUAUCCCCUAAUAUUCUGACAUUUUUCUCAUUUAGAAACUGAUGGACUAUCUUUUAAACAAAGUCAAAGCGACUCAGCCUAUGAAUUAGUCUGCAAUGAUACCAAGACGUCUAACAUUGAGCCACUAAUGCCACCUAUGCAUGUUUUACUUUCAAAUUUAAAAGUUGAUUCAAUAUAGUUCCGAUUUGUAUAUUCAUUAAUAAUCAAUAAACUGACUGGCUUUAUUAAUGUCUACAGUAUUAUGCAAUUUGGUUUCCCCUCAGGUUAUUGAUGUGUCAUUGCAACAUUAAAGGUCCUCAAUGACAUCACCAUUGCCCUUGUUUCUAAGCAAUGUUGUGCUGCUAUUUUUGACUUGGCCAAAGCUUUUGAUAUGGUAGACCAG